AUUGAACGCUGGCGGCAUGCCUUACACAUGCAAGUCGAACGGCAGCACGGGAGCAAUCCUGGUGGCGAGUGGCGAACGGGUGAGUAAUACAUCGGAACGUGCCCAAUCGUGGGGGAUAACGCAGCGAAAGCUGUGCUAAUACCGCAUAAGAUCUAAGGAUGAAAGCGGGGGAUCGCAAGACCUCGCGCGAGUGGAGCGGCCGAUGGCAGAUUAGGUAGUUGGUGAGGUAAAGGCUCACCAAGCCUGCGAUCUGUAGCUGGUCUGAGAGGACGACCAGCCACACUGGAACUGAGACACGGUCCAGACUCCUACGGGAGGCAGCAGUGGGGAAUUUUGGACAAUGGGCGCAAGCCUGAUCCAGCAAUGCCGCGUGCAGGAUGAAGGCCUUC
RNAcentral lists this ribosomal RNA (389 nucleotides) under uncultured bacterium. RNAcentral describes it as "bacterial SSU rRNA". It matches the Rfam family "Bacterial small subunit ribosomal RNA", at positions 29 to 419 of the family's 1533-position model. The record is from RNAcentral.